Molecule: transfer RNA, 70 nt
Filed under: Macrostemum radiatum
Lineage: Eukaryota; Metazoa; Arthropoda; Insecta; Trichoptera; Hydropsychidae
Description: tRNA-Phe
Source: RNAcentral
AUUUUAAUAGCUUAUUUAUUUAAAGCUUUAUAUUGAAGAUAUAAGAAAGAUUAGUUUAAAUCUUAAAAUA